UAAAGGUUGUUUGUUCACACAAAUGCCCUGUCAGAGCCCAGGGGUCUGUCUUUUGACCGCUGAACUCCUCAUCAGCAAAUGGAAAAUGGAAUUUGUAAACCACACAACACAGGUUCUGUCUGAGGGGGUCUAAGCAUCAUUAUCCAGGACAGAGCCUAUAGAACAGCCAAUCAUUCCAGAACCUCAGCUGAGAGCCAGCCAUAUCUGGGCCCGAGUCAAAAAGUGACCCCUGCAACGACUCUCUUCGCUGUCUCUGAGCAAACUCUCCUAAGCCCGGGGCACAGGAUGGCUAAAGGUUCUUCCUCUCUGAAGACUUAAUAUGGUUAUUAAAUUCUGAUCCCAACCAAUCUCUCUUCUUAAGGCUUUUCAUGACAUGUUGGGUAUGCCAAUUUUUAAUGUUUGAUUUUUCUAAAUUUUCCAAGAAGCUGCCUUACAACGCAGUGCACGGCGAGGCUGCAUACACGGAGCCCAUCCAUCAAUGCUAGCUGUCGCAAGGGAAUCACUGGAAACAUUCUCAUGCUCUUGGCUCAAUCAAGAUGGUUCUUUUAAAAGUGUCUAAGCUGUAAUUCUUUGACAACUCUGACUUUCUCAGGCUUUCAGCAGAACACUACUAAAAUUCAAGGGAAACCACAACUCAAAAGGCCUUCCCACUGCUUUGGCACAGAGCACCCCCAAGUCCUGCAAGCCAUCAAAAGAUUCAGCUUGCAAACCCAGGCUCUGUCUGGAAGCGGGGAGGGACAGCACACUUGCUGGCCGGGAGCAGCUAGCAAGCUGCAAGGACACACAGAGGGCGACCACAUCAACGCAGCUGCCUGGGGACAAAAGAGAGUGAUGGUGCGGUGGGUGCUCAGCACCCGGUGGACACUUAAUCCGUGUAACAGAGUGAUGCACACUCGCAGGGGGUAUGGGCUUCUCUCUGGACCCUGUGUCUUCCUAGGAAAGCUGCCUUAAGAAACAUUUUGGAGGAAGACUGAGAAAAUAAGGCCAUCAUUGUCACUGACAUCUCAUAACAUGUUACCGACCCUGAAAAACGAAUAUGUAUUUUUUCCCUUGGUUAUAUAGUUUUAAAAGCCCCAAACUAUCUUUUAUAAAACACAAAUUUUUUAAAACUGAAAUUUGUUUAGCUUUGGCUGUUUCUUAUCCCAAGUCUCAAAGAGUAAUUCACAUCUCAAUCUAUUUCUGAAGCCUUGGGUAGGCAGGGAGUUACUUCCUAACAACUAAUCCCACCUGGGCUUGGGAAUCUCCACAUGAGAAGGCAGAGACGAGAGUGGACGCAGCUGCCCAGAGGACGAGGCCAGGAGCUCCUCGGCACCUGGACCCCCCAGACCAGCCCUGUUGGUCCCUGCACAAGCCCCUCCAUGCAGCGCCCGAGGCAUGGGAGUUGCCCGACGAGUGCCCUCCACACGCCAAGCCAAUCUUCACAUGAAAUAGGACCAUGGAGGGCACCAGCUUCCAUGCGAGAACAGCCCCCGGGUAUCUAAUUCAAAAACGUCAAGUCAAGGCCGACUCCAUAGGCUGCCCCGUUCCACUCACCAUGAUGACGGAGACCCCGGUGGUGGUGCUGUUCUGUUUGGGGAGCGCGUUAUUAAA
Molecule: long non-coding RNA, 1590 nt
Organism: Cebus imitator (Panamanian white-faced capuchin)
Lineage: Eukaryota; Metazoa; Chordata; Mammalia; Primates; Cebidae
Exons: 3
Source: RefSeq, a predicted model, not a curated record